Molecule: ribosomal RNA, 697 nt
Filed under: Williamsia sp. GICR15p
Lineage: Bacteria; Bacillati; Actinomycetota; Actinomycetes; Mycobacteriales; Nocardiaceae
Description: bacterial SSU rRNA
Rfam family: Bacterial small subunit ribosomal RNA
Source: RNAcentral
UGCAAGUCGAACGAUGAAGCCAGCUUGCUGGUGGAUUAGUGGCGAACGGGUGAGUAACACGUGGGUGAUCUGCCCCAAACUUUGGGAUAAGCCUGGGAAACUGGGUCUAAUACCGAAUAUGACCACCGAAUGCAUGGUGUGUGGUGGAAAGCUCCGGCGGUUUGGGAUGGGCCCGCGGCCUAUCAGCUUGUUGGUGGGGUAAUGGCCUACCAAGGCGACGACGGGUAGCCGGCCUGAGAGGGCGACCGGCCACACUGGGACUGAGACACGGCCCAGACUCCUACGGGAGGCAGCAGUGGGGAAUAUUGCACAAUGGGCGCAAGCCUGAUGCAGCGACGCCGCGUGAGGGAUGACGGCCUUCGGGUUGUAAACCUCUUUCACCAGGGACGAAGCGAAAGUGACGGUACCUGGAGAAGAAGCACCGGCCAACUACGUGCCAGCAGCCGCGGUAAUACGUAGGGUGCGAGCGUUGUCCGGAAUUACUGGGCGUAAAGAGUUCGUAGGCGGUUUGUCGCGUCGUUCGUGAAAACUUGGGGCUUAACUCCAAGCGUGCGGGCGAUACGGGCAGACUUGAGUACCUACAGGGGAGACUGGAAUUCCCUGGUGUAGCGGUGAAAUGCGCAAGAUAUCAGGAGGAACACCGGUGGCGAAGGCGGGUCUCUGGGUAGUAACUGACGCUGAGGAACGAAAGCGUGGG